GAUGAACGCUGGCGGCGUGCCUAAUACAUGCAAGUCGAGCGAACAGAUGAGGAGCUUGCUCCUCUGACGUUAGCGGCGGACGGGUGAGUAACACGUGGAUAACCUACCUAUAAGACUGGGAUAACUUCGGGAAACCGGAGCUAAUACCGGAUAAUAUAUUGAACCGCAUGGUUCAAUAGUGGAAGACGGUUUUGCUGUCACUUAUAGAUGGAUCCGCGCCGCAUUAGCUAGUUGGUAAGGUAACGGCUUACCAAGGCAACGAUGCGUAGCCGACCUGAGAGGGUGAUCGGCCACACUGGAACUGAGACACGGUCCAGACUCCUACGGGAGGCAGCAGUAGGGAUUCUUCCGCAAUGGGCGAAAGCCUGACGGAGCAACGCCGCGUGAGUGAUGAAGGUCUUCGGAUCGUAAAACUCUGUUAUUAGGGAAGAACAAAUGUGUAAGUAACUAUGCACGUCUUGACGGUACCUAAUCAGAAAGCCACGGCUAACUACGUG
This 497-nucleotide ribosomal RNA is filed under the name uncultured bacterium. RNAcentral's name for it is "partial 16S ribosomal RNA". It matches the Rfam family "Bacterial small subunit ribosomal RNA", at positions 28 to 507 of the family's 1533-position model. The record is from RNAcentral.